CUGCAGACAAGAUCACUAGCACAGCAUGUUGUUGCUGGAGCAAGGGGAACAUGUUUGCUAUAGUAACCAAUGGACGGAGAAGCACUUAGCCUAUAAAAUGCCAUUAGGCUACACCUUCUCUUCCCACUCACAUUA
This is a non-coding RNA of Xenopus laevis (African clawed frog), 135 nucleotides long. Lineage: Eukaryota; Metazoa; Chordata; Amphibia; Anura; Pipidae. The record is from Rfam.